GACGAACGCUGGCGGCGUGCCUAAUACAUGCAAGUAGAACGCUGAAGGAGGAGCUUGCUUCUCUGGAUGAGUUGCGAACGGGUGAGUAACGCGUAGGUAACCUGCCUGGUAGCGGGGGAUAACUAUUGGAAACGAUAGCUAAUACCGCAUAAGAGUAGAUGUUGCAUGACAUUUGCUUAAAAGGUGCAAUUGCAUCACUACCAGAUGGACCUGCGUUGUAUUAGCUAGUUGGUGGGGUAACGGCUCACCAAGGCGACGAUACAUAGCCGACCUGAGAGGGUGAUCGGCCACACUGGGAGUGAGACACGGCCCAGACUCCUACGGGAGGCAGCAGUAGGGAAUCUUCGGCAAUGGACGGAAGUCUGACCGAGCAACGCCGCGUGAGUGAAGAAGGUUUUCGGAUCGUAAAGCUCUGUUGUAAGAGAAGAACGAGUGUGAGAGUGGAAAGUUCACACUGUGACGGUAUCUUACCAGAAAGGGACGGCUAACUACGUG
Molecule: ribosomal RNA, 495 nt
Filed under: uncultured bacterium
Lineage: Bacteria
Description: partial 16S ribosomal RNA
Rfam family: Bacterial small subunit ribosomal RNA
Source: RNAcentral